GACGAACGCUGGCGGCGUGCUUAACACAUGCAAGUCGAGCGGUAAGGCCCUUUCGGGGGUACACGAGCGGCGAACGGGUGAGUAACACGUGGGUGACCUGCCCUCAGCUCUGGGAUAAGCCCGGGAAACUGGGUCUAAUACUGGAUAUGACUCCAUGACGCAUGUUGUGGGGUGGAAAGCCUUGUGCGGCUGAGGAUGGGCCCGCGGCCUAUCAGCUUGUUGGUGGGGGAUGGCCUACCAAGGCGACGACGGGUAGCCGGCCUGAGAGGGCGACCGGCCACACUGGGACUGAGACACGGCCCAGACUCCUACGGGAGGCAGCAGUGGGGAAUCUUGCGCAAUGGGCGAAAGCCUGAUCCAGCCAUGCCGCGUGAGUGAUGAAGGCCUUAGGGUUGUAAAGCUCUUCUACCCGGGAAGAUAAUGACGGUACCGGGAGAAUAAGCCCGCUAACUUCGUGCCAGCCGCCGCCGUAAG
RNAcentral lists this ribosomal RNA (474 nucleotides) under uncultured bacterium. Its description in RNAcentral is "bacterial SSU rRNA". It matches the Rfam family "Bacterial small subunit ribosomal RNA", at positions 28 to 524 of the family's 1533-position model. The record is from RNAcentral.